AAAUUUACAGGCAUUACCCGACCGACCAAAUUUCCUACUUGUCGGAGUGGAAGUUGAAAAUCUCAUCCCAAAGUUGGAUUUAUCCUCCUGAUACGAAAGAAAGUAAAACAGUCGACUGCCCUCUCAAGAAUAGCCUUAUGAUUUUGUAUUUUCUGUGUUAAUUCGAUCAACUUGUCAACUUCAUCAACUUGUUGUUUAUUUACGUUUGCUAUUAAAGUGAGGUUAAAUGUUUAUCGUUCGACGAACACAUGUAGCCAAGACUGGACCCACAUUGACGAGUACGUUUUUUAAGUUCCUGUAUUGAAAUCGUGAUUUUCUGCCGAAAAUAAUUUCCACAUAGUUGCGAUACUAUCCCACAAGAAAAAAACCACUAAUUACUCAUUCCUCCGCUCAGCGUUUGUGCAUUCAGUUGGGUUCAACAAUGGAAUGAGGACAAAAUGAAAUGCUGGCAAUACAUAUUUUUCGUGCCUACUUUGAGCUCUUACCUAUAUUUUCCACUGUCAAGCUUCGGGUACUCGGUAUAAUACAUUUUGUACUACCUAAAAGAACACCUAAAGCAACCAGCAUCACACCAAUAAGGAGAGAGAGUGAAGACACAGUAUUUUGGAUACUCACAAAACAUUGAUGGAAUGCGAUGUUCUAAAACCAUCAUCUUUCUAUGUUAGUGAUGAAGAGAGAUUGUGCAGCAAGUGCCAAAUCAUCAACCGUUGAUCAUAUCAUACUCUAGAAGUGCCCGACAGGUUCUAAUAUUCUUGGCCAUACUAUUUCUUGAAGCCACCAAAUCAUGACUAGCACAUCGCUUCAAGAUGCUCUUUCGUAUUUCAUCCUGAAUAUUAACGGAAUAUGACAUCAUCAUUUGAUCAAUCCUUAUAUUUUGUUCUCUGCUAGUUCAAGACUACGUCAUUAUAUGAUCAAAUGACCCCCUUCUGAAAACUAAAAAUUUGUGGAGAAUUUCCUUCAUUUCAGCAUAUCUGUUCCUCACGACAAAGAUUUGAAGUUAGACUUGCAAUAUUUCAGUUGCUCCGUCCGAAUAAUUCUCCAUUGUUAGAGAGAAAACUACUUUUAUUGGUAGCUUUUUUGUCUACCGUUGACACACCAUCCAUUCAUUGAUACAUAAAAAUUUGCAUUACUGGUACACAACAA
Non-coding RNA from Bemisia tabaci, 1143 nucleotides. Lineage: Eukaryota; Metazoa; Arthropoda; Insecta; Hemiptera; Aleyrodidae. The record is from RefSeq and is a predicted model, not a curated record.